GGCGGUUAGAUAANUCUGAAGUUAAAGGCUGUGGCUUAACCAUAGUACGCUUUGGAAACUGUUUAACUUGAGUGCAAGAGGGGAGAGUGGAAUUCCAUGUGUAGCGGUGAAAUGCGUAGAUAUAUGGAGGAACACCGGUGGCGAAAGCGGCUCUCUGGCUUGUAACUGACGCUGAGGCUCGAAAGCGUGGGGAGCAAACAGGAUUAGAUACCNUGGUAGUCCACGCCGUAAACGAUGAGUGCUAGGUGUUAGACCCUUCCCGGGGUUUAGUGCCGCAGCUAACGCAUUAAGCACUCCGCCUGGGGAGUACGACCGCAAGGUUGAAACUCAAAGGAAUUGACGGGGGCCCGCACAAGCGGUGGAGCAUGUGGUUUAAUUCGAAGCAACGCGAAGAACCUUACCAGGUCUUGACAUCCCUCUGACCGCUCUAGAGAUAGAGUUUUCCUUCGGGACAGAGGUGACAGGUGGUGCAUGGUUGUCGUCAGCUCGUGUCGUGAGAUGUUGGGUUAAGUCCCGCAACGAGCGCGACCCCUAUUGUUAGUUGCCAUCAUUCAGUCGGGCACUCUAGCGAGACUGCCGGUAAUAAACCGGAGGAAGGUGGGGAUGACGUCAAAUCAUCAUGCCCCUUAUGACCUGGGCUGCACACGUGCUACAAUGGCUGGUACAACGAGUCGCAAGCCGGUGACGGCAAGCUAAUCUCUUAAAGCCAGACUCAGUUCGGAUUGUAGGCUGCAACUCGCCUACAUGAAGUCGGAAUCGCUAGUAAUCGCGGAUCAGCACGCCGCGGUGAAUACGUUCCCGGGCCUUGUACACACCGCC
Molecule: ribosomal RNA, 819 nt
Filed under: uncultured bacterium
Lineage: Bacteria
Description: bacterial SSU rRNA
Rfam family: Bacterial small subunit ribosomal RNA
Source: RNAcentral